AUUUUGUUUUUUUGUUGAUGUUAUUGUUGUUGUUGAGAUUUAAUGUUUAACUAUUCUAUUGAAUUUUGUUCUUGUUCUUGUUCUUGUUCUUGUUCUUGUUCUUAGUCUUAGUAUUUUCUUGUUGUUCUUGUUCUUAUUCUUGUUACUGUUCUUUCUUUUGAUCUUACUCUUAUUGGUCUUGUUCUUGUUCUUGUUCUUGCUCUUGUUCUUGUUCUUGUUCUUGUUCUUGUUCUUGUUCUUGUUCUUGUUCUUGUUCUUGUUCUUGUUCUUGUUCUUGUUCUUGUU
This 285-nucleotide long non-coding RNA is filed under the name Lathyrus oleraceus (garden pea). RNAcentral describes it as "Pisum sativum (pea) long non-coding RNA (PSAT_LNC008042)". Lineage: Eukaryota; Viridiplantae; Streptophyta; Magnoliopsida; Fabales; Fabaceae. The record is from RNAcentral.